This 512-nucleotide ribosomal RNA is filed under the name uncultured bacterium. RNAcentral's name for it is "partial 16S ribosomal RNA". It matches the Rfam family "Bacterial small subunit ribosomal RNA", at positions 28 to 507 of the family's 1533-position model. The record is from RNAcentral.
GAUGAACGCUGGCGGCGUGCCUAAUACAUGCAAGUCGAACGAAACUUCUUUAUCACCGAGUGCUUGCACUCACCGAUAAAGAGUUGAGUGGCGAACGGGUGAGUAACACGUGGGCAACCUGCCCAAAAGAGGGGGAUAACACUUGGAAACAGGUGCUAAUACCGCAUAACCAUAGUUACCGCAUGGUAACUAUGUAAAAGGUGGCUAUACUACCGCUUUUGGAUGGGCCCGCGGCGCAUUAGCUAGUUGGUAGGGUAAAGGCUUACCAAGGCAAUGAUGCGUAGCCGAAUUGAGAGGUUGAUCGGCCACAUUGGAACUGAGACACGGCCCAAACUCCUACGGGAGGCAGCAGUAGGGAAUCUUGCACAAUGGGCGAAAGCCUGAUGGAGCAACGCCGCGUGGGUGAAGAAGGUCUUCGGAUCGUAAAACCCUGUUGUUAGAGAAGAAAGUGCGUGAGAGUAACUGUUCACGUUUCGACGGUAUCUAAACAGAAAGCCACGGCUAACUACGUG